GGUUAUUGGGUUGCUGAACUCCCAUGAACCAAAAAGAAAACACUGAAUGGUAUCCAAACCAGCCUGGAAAGGACAGCGAGAAAAGCCAGAACCAAGGCUGACCAGCCUGAAUGCUGGUAAAUGUUAUCAAGAAUCUGGAGCAGGAGCCUCAGUCUCCUAUCAAAAGGAGAAGAACCUGAAGAAAACACUUCUCUUCCUUCUCUCUGCCUAGGGGCAGUGACCUUGGAUUCAACCACCAUCAUCCCUUCCAGACACCAGAGGGGGGAGUCCCACAAGGCAGAAGGUGCCCCUGUGACCCAUCCACUUCUCUUCCAUGUUCUUUACCUCCUUGCUCAGGAAGCCAUAAAGUUGAGCUGAGUGGAAGGUGAAUUUCAUUGCAAAGUUUACACAGGCUCUGCUGACAGGUUCAUGAAAACACUACUGAAUAUGUUACAUACCACCAAGGCUCACAGCACAUCCUGUGUUGGAAGUGAUACUUUUCCAUUACCAGUAAACCUCCUUUUGUCCUAGGAGCUCACUGAACAGCUAAAAUCAGGUGAUAUUUUUAUGUGGAACAUGCAACGUAUUAAGUCCUUUUGCUCAGUGACCCAAAAAGGAACUAAACGGUACCCAGACUAGAAAUCAAUGUCAAAUUAUUCAAAUAAAUUCCACUUAAAGAAUGGUGGUUUGGAAAGCGCUCAGUCAGAAAGAAUUCUCCCAAGAUUAGUUUACUGUGAAGUAGAAGGGAAGAACGUUUUAACUUUGGUUGGAAAUCUGAUGACAUUACAUAGAAGGUGAUGAAACAUCCUCUAAGAAACGGUUCUGAUCCAUUGUAUGGCACCCCCCUCUCACAUUCCCCCAUUUUACCCACUAAAGAAGUUCUUUUACAAGAGGCUAAGGAAACCAAGCAAUAUAAGAUCUAAUCAAAACUGAGUGCUGGAAAUGUGUGGGGAGAAAUCCAUAAUUAAACUGAGCAAUUAACUCCAGAAAG
This 970-nucleotide long non-coding RNA is filed under the name Homo sapiens (human). RNAcentral describes it as "non-protein coding LINC02412:5". The record is from RNAcentral. Lineage: Eukaryota; Metazoa; Chordata; Mammalia; Primates; Hominidae.